Molecule: long non-coding RNA, 4549 nt
Organism: Equus caballus (horse)
Lineage: Eukaryota; Metazoa; Chordata; Mammalia; Perissodactyla; Equidae
Source: Ensembl
CUGCUUUGAAAAUAGUAUUCCAUUGUCUUGAAUCCAGUGUUGCUAUUGAAAUGUCUGAUGGCAUUCUGAUUCGUCUUCUUUUUGUGAUCUGCUAUUCCUCUCUAGCAGCUUUAGAAUCUUUUUGUUGUCUCUAAUCUUAUUAAAGUUCAUUCUAAAAUGUCUAGGUGUGAACUUUUCCUUCUCACUCCUCUUUUCCUAUUUUACCAUUUAAAUCUUGAGUCGUCUUUCUUUAAUUCUGGCAAAUAUGUUUCCAUUAUUCCUUGAGAAGUCUCCUCAUUUCCAAUUUUUCCAGUUCUUUUGAGAAUUCUCUUAUUGAUGUCGGCGUUUCCUCCUCUAUUCUCCAUAUUCUUUAACUUCAAAAAGUCUUUUUCCACAGUUUUCUUCCCUGUGCCCACACGGAACAGUUCCUAACUCUGUGGUCUUCUAAUUUGCUGAUUCACUGCGGAUGCGUCCAUUUUACUAUUUAACCAAUCUGGUUUUUUCUUUAACUUCAACUAUUACAUUAUUCAUAAGUAAUAUUUCUCCUUUAGCCUAUUUUACGCUAUUUUACAACAUUAUAAUAUUGUCAGUAUAUUCCCUUGUCCCUUUCUACAGUGCUUUUAGGCUCUUAGGACUUUUUCCACUGUUCUAAUAACUCUGGGUUAAUGAAAACUGUAACCUCACUUUAUCCCUGUUGCCUCCAACCUGCUCUCUCUCUUUGCUAUAGGUUCUGGUCUGUCCUUCUAGUGUUUCAUUUUGCAAAUAUAAACAGUCUUUUGAAUGUGUUCAUAUGUAUCUCUUGCACAAAAGCCUUUGUAUCAUAGUUCUCUUUUUGCCUUGCACUUCUUCACUUAAUUUUUCGCUGGAGGUCACUCUAGAAUAGUAUACAGAUGAUGUCCUUCUGUUUUGUCAAUGCAUAAUUGAGUGGACAUACCAUAAUUGUUUUCAGCAAGGCCUCUUUUGGUUGACAUCUGGGUUAUUUCCAAAUUUUUACUGUUACAAAUUUUGUAACAAUGGCAAACUUAUUCAUACAUCUUUUCACCUAUAGGCCAGUGUUUUGGGGGGAUAGAUUCCAAAAGGUGAGACUACGGCUUCAGGAGAGGAAUUGCAUAUGUAAUUUUGCUAAAUAUUGCCACACUCUCCUUUAUAGGUGCUAUAAUAUUUUUAUUCCAAUCUGUUGCUACCGUAACGGUUUUUUUGGUCCACAUAAAACUGAAAUUUAAAUUUGUGUCAAUGGCUCCAAUUAUGAUAAAAAUAUUUCCUAAUAUCAUUUCCUGAUGUUUCCAUUCUACGAUUCCUCCUCUGUUGACAUCUCUUUUCUUUACUUUGAUUCUCCAGGUGCCACAGUGCUUGUUUCCCCUUCUCUACUCUUUCUCAGUUUUUACCCCAAUUUAUUCUGGUGUCUUGUCUUUCAUCAUUGACCUUGCUCAGAGUCAAUUAUUUUUUUCUUUUCUAUGUUACAUAUUUCAGGAUAUUUUUUUCCAUAGUUAAGAGAUUUGGUCAAAUAAUCACAAUUCUAUUAAUCAACAUUAUCAUUUCAUGUCAAAUAAGAAACUCAGACGGUGGUUUCAUUCAAAUUUUGAAGGUUGACAAGUUUGUUCAACUGAAUUAUACUGACAUAUUUUCUUAAGUCCUUUGAAUUAAGGCAUUGAUUUUUCCCCCAAAAGGAUGCAUUGGAUUUUCCUGCUUCAUAAUCUUUAUAAUUUGAGGUCAUCUCAUCCAUCCAUGACAUCUGUCACUUCAGUGGUACCCAAGCCAAGCAACAUGGGAAGUUUCCAAUCUUCUCCAAAAACUUCCCAAAGGCUGUUUUAAUUUUAUUUUAAAUUUGAAUAUGCCAGUGCCUGGACUAAACAAUUGUGCUGAUUCUUCUUUCUGUUCUCCCUAAAUCUGGUCUCUCUCACAUGUCUCAGAUGUGCUGCUUGCUACUUUUUUUUUCUUUUGCAGGGAACGAUUCACCCUGAGCUAACAUCUGUUGCCAGUCUUCCUCUUUUUUUUCUCUCCCCGAAGCCCCAGUGCAUGGUUGUACAUCCUAGUUUUACGUCCAUUUUUUCUUCUGUGUGAGCUGCUGCCACAGUAUGCAACUGACAGAUGGAUGGUGUGCUUCCGCAACUGGGAAACGAACCUGGGCUGCUGAAGUGGUGAGAGCACCGAACUUUAAACCACUAGGCCAUCAGGGCUGGCUCACUGUUUGCUACUUUUCCUUUGAAAGUCACCUUUCUUUCCUUUACCAUGACCCACACCAGUAUCACCAAAAUAUCGCCACAGGAAUUCCCAGUCAGAACAGUGAAAAUGGCUUCAUAUCCUCCAGAAUAUGGACUGUCUUGGAUUGGAAUCAGAGGCUUGCAAAACCAUGGAAACUCAGAAUCACAGAACCAUGGAGUCUUGGAACUGAGAGCACAGUGGAGCUGACAUAGUGAUCCAGCCACCAUGGAGAAGAGGUAUGAUUAUCCUGAAACGACAAUACUUUUAAGGAAGCCUAAGCGAGUCACCUGGAGAGGCUACAGGGAAGAGAACUGAAGUGUCCAAGUGACAGCCCCGCAUGAGAUCCCAGCCUUCAGCAGAGACCAACGGCCACCACGUUGGACAUUCCAAAUCGGUUGAACCUCCAGUGAGCCAUCUUGGACAUUCCAAACUGGUUGAGUCUUCAGAUAACGGCAGCCACAGCUCACACCACAUGGAGAAGAACUGACACUGAGGAUGAAGGAGUUAAAAUUUCCCUGGAUUAGGGUGAAACUGUGCCUUUGACCCACAAGGUUAACGUGGGAAACAAAAUAACCAAAGCAUCUGAGCUUGCCUUGCACAACAGCAGGAGGACCGCCGAUAAGAGAGGAAUUUGCUGACAGGCCUCCUCCUGAGUAAGCAUCUUGCAGGAACAUUGAGAAGCUAAAAAGACUGUCAACUUUACACAUCAAAGACUAAAAAUCCACCAUGCAACACAUAGAACAGACAGUCAUUCCUGUGCAGAGGACUCUUAGAACUUCUGCCCCCAAGGCCACAUGCUCCCCAACUCCUACCUAAAACCCUAAAUAAAAACCCUUGCUUGUACCUUUUUCAGGAGUUUGGGAUUAUAGUGUUAGCUGCCUCUUCUCCUUGCUCAGUGCUUUGCAAUAAAAUUCCUACUUUUUUCCACUACACCCAAUGUCAGAGAUUGGCUUACUACUGUGUAACUGGCGAGUGAACUAACUUCAGAUUUGAUAUCAGAUGACCCUUAUAUCAGGUGAACUACCCAGGUGAACCCAACCAACCCACAGACUCAUGAGCAGCGAUAAAUGGUUGUUGCUGAUUGAAGCCAGUGAGAAAGGCAGGUAGCAUAGGCCCUGAGCAAUUGGCCUAGUGGCUGUGUCUGGAUGCGUACAGGGGUGCUAAGGUGGGAGGCCCCAAGGCAGCAGCAGAAGAGACAGUGGGCACAGCCCCAGGAGAGAAGAGGGACUCCAUGUGGGACAGCACAGGAACCUGGGUGGGAGGCCAGCCUCCUGACCAUCUUUAGACCCUAAUAAUUACAGUAAUUAUUAACUCUCUGGCCUGAGCACUGGGACAGGUACUGCAGGCGGCCAGGUAGUAAAUAUUGUCAGUAAAUUAUUACUAAACAACAGCAUAUACAUCGACAUUGCAAUAAAGCGUAUCAGGAAGUUAUUAGAAUUCUUCAAAGCGUUCAGAAUCUCUGGUUUUGAAAAUUGCUGGGUCAUUGCAAAGCAAAUACCCACAGGUUUAUAAAUAGAAAUUAAAUUCAACAGAAAAACCCACUAUUUUUAUAUGAAGCUUAAAUUGCCAUUGUAUAAUUGCCCUUGCAUGACAUUUAAAAUUAAAUUCAGGCAGGAGACUCAUUUGUAUGAAGAGUUAAAUCUUUUUAGAAAAAGUGUUAAGUGAGACUCAUUAACUUUACAUGUACUCUAAUUUAUACUGCUAAAUAAUUAUCAGAAAUAUGUCCCAGUGUUGUCACAGUCUAUAAAAUACUCUUAACGGCUCCUGUAACCAUUACAUCAGCAGAAACAUUCUUCUCAAAAUUAAAAAUUAUCAAAAAUUGGCUGCAAUCUUGCAUUUGCCAAGGCAACUCCUUUUUUUUUUUUUAAAGAUUUUAUUUUUUCCUUUUUCUCCCCAAAGCCCCCCCAGUACAUAGUUGUAUAUUCUUCGUUGUGGGUCCCUCUAGUUGUGGCAUGUGGGACGCCGCCUCAGCGUGGUCUGAUGAGCAGUGCCAUGUCCGCGCCCAGGAUUCAAACCAACGAAACACUGGGCCGCCUGCAGCGGAGCGCGCGAACUUAACCACUCGGCCACGGGGCCAGCCCCGGCCAAGGCAACUCAUUUUGCUUUCAAUAUCCUAAUUUGAAAAUGAAAUUGCUAAAAGUGUAAAUUUUGAUGAAAUAAUAAAUAAAUUUGGAGAAAGGUGGACUACAGCUGUAUCUUAGCUGUACCUGAAGGAACAGUGACAGUGAUUUAUAUUAUUCGAAGGAAAAGUAACAGCAAUACCACUACCCUGGUUUUGAUCCCACUGCUCCAGCCACUCUGGCCUCAUUGCUGUUUAUGGAAAUGUCCCAAAAGCUUAGAACAAUGUCUGCCACAGAGUAGAUGUGCA